Long non-coding RNA from Equus asinus (donkey), 2200 nucleotides. The record is from Ensembl. NCBI's taxonomy places the organism in Eukaryota, Metazoa, Chordata, Mammalia, Perissodactyla, Equidae.
CACACAAUGCCGUCCUGCCGCAUGCUCUGAUUUAACUACUGUAAGGAAGAAUAGACUUGGGGGGGCUCGGUGCGAUAGAGAAAGGAGAGGCUACAGCAGCUGUUUGCUUUCCGGCUCUGAGCUCUGCACCCACGAUGGCCUGUGCCGUUUACCCAGCGAGCUCUGCUAGCUGCCUGGCUGGAAUCUGUUCCGGGUUGGGAGUUGUCAUUGGAGAGCACGUUUUAACCCUCUUCCUCGUGGUAAAUGUGGACCGUUUGUUGUUCGGCAUUUGGAUCGGGAACAAGGCCCGUACCACGCACCUCUAAGAACAAAGAUGGUACCUAUUCACCCUGACCCAGACUUCUUCGACCCCAGCAAGAUGGAAAGUUGGCAUCAGAGGAGCGGAGAGACUCACGUCAUUCUAAGAGUCAGUACUGACUGCUUAAUGCUCCCGCGAGUUCCUCCAGAAGCAACACCCAAGCACGCAAGUGUUGGAUUUUGUCCAAGAGACCAUGUAAUUUAUGAAGGAAGUGUACGUCAUUCACAUUUUCCAGAAAAGAGGACAAAAAACAGGAAGAUUAGCCCUAAGCUAACACCUGCUGCCAAUCCUCCUCUUUUUGCUGAAGAAGACUGGCCCUGAGCUAACAUACGUGCCCAUCUUCCUCUACUUUAUAUGUGGGACGCUUGCCACAGCGUGGCUUGACAAGGUCCGCACGUGGAUCCGAACUGGCGAACCCCGGGCCGCUGAGAAGCGGGAACAUGCGAACUUAACCACUGCGCCACCAAGCUGACCCCUAAAAAAAAUGACAUAUUUUAUGUCACCCUGCAGCUUCAUGAUGUCAUUGUCGUAAAGUGCCUAAAUAUAUCAUUGCUUGUGCAAAAUUAUGGUUGUUAGUUUCUCUUAUCUUUUUUGUAAACAUUUCCCUUAUUAUUUCCCAUGCUAGUUGAGACCAAAAAGACCAUAUAUCUCUUGAAAUGUUAACAUUUAAAAAUAAAAUCCAAGACAUAAUCAUUGUGCACAAAAGGCCAUUAUCGCUCCAAAGUAAAUUGCAAAUGACACUACAGAGGCUCUCACUUUAAGCAAGGUAUACUAAUAAUAACACAGUACUGUGAACACCUGUUUCCUAAUGAGAAUACCCACAAAACAUGGAGAAACAAUUUCAUAUAAAUGUCAAGUGUAAAUUGAAUGUGAUCAUGAAACAACUCAAAUUAUUAUAAGGAAAAUGAUCUUAAGUGACUAAGUAAAUAUUUUCCAUGAAGAUCAUAUGCAAAGAUUUAAAAUAAAACAUAAUUUGACAUACAAUUGUCAAAAUAGAAUUUUUUUAACUUCUUACCUGAGGUAACAAAUGGCAAUGCACACAGACACAUAGCAAACAUAUAAACAAACAAACAAAAAUAGAGUGCAUUUAAGUAAUGAAAGGAUGAUAACCUGUUUUCAUUAAUCAGACUAAAAUUUCAAAAAUGACUUCACAUUCCCACUGUACUGUUUUUAAAAACCAUUCUCUGCUUCAUUCCAUUUUCUAAAUCUAUAAAUCUGCUUUUUUGGGGGAAUCUCUGUAGGUACUUUUAGAUUUUUAUCAAGUAUAUUUUAUAGUUUCAGAAGGAUUAAGAACAAUCUAAAUAUAGACAAGGAGAAAUAGAUAACAUGAAUAUCUAUAUUUCUGUAUUCUAAAUUUCUAUAUUUAUAUCUAUAAAUGAAUUGAAUUAAUAAUUAAUAACUUUUCCCCAAAGAAAUCACCAGAGUCAAAUGGUUUCACAAGUGAUUUUUAUCAAAUAUUUAAGGAAGAAAUGAUAUCAAUUCUCCACAAUCUCUCCCAAAAACUAAAAGCAAUGAAUGCCACCUAACUCAUUCAAUGAGGUCAGAAUUACUCAAAUGCCAAAACUAGAUACAGGAAAGGAAAAUUACAGACCUGUAAUCUCUCAUGAACAUAAACAAAAAAAACUCAGUAAAAUAAUUAAAAGUCAAAUUCAACAAUGUAUAAAAAGAAUAAUACACUAUGACCAACUGGUGUUUAUUCCAUGUAUGCAAGGCUAGUUCAACAUUUGAAAACUCAAUCAGUGUAACACAGCAUAUCAACAGACCAAAGAAGGAAAAUCAUAUGAUUAUAUUAAUUGACAUGGAAGACAGGAUUUGACAAAAUGCAAGACUCAGUCAUGAUAAAAAUACUCAGCAAACUAGGAAUAGAGGGGAACUUCUCCAAAGUGACAAAGAACAUCUACA